UUCAGUGUUAGUAGAUUUCAACAGAGUUCCGAGUUAGUUCAACACUUAAUCGAGUUAAAAUAACACAUCGGGAGUUGAUUCCUGAAAAGUGUAAGUGUAGAUUUUAGUCGUUACUGCAUUUUAACACUGUGGGUGUUAAAUUAGACCACACCUUCAUUUCCUGUGGAGCUUCGCAAUCCAGAAUCUUCGGUCGCCAUUUUUUCUUGCUGAUGCGGUGGUGAUAUGCUGGUUCCCGAGAAGAGAUGAACUAAUCAAAGUCAGCUUUUCAAGACAGCCCCAAGACUCUUCGCAACUUGUGUUCAAAUGUGAGGCCGUUGUCAGGUGAUAAAUGCAAGGAAGAGGCACUCAACUGACAUGAAACAUGUCAAAGACAACAUGAAGGUGACAUUUCAACAUAGGCAAAAAGUGGUUCAAGAACCUGCCAUAGCUUCUACUGUCCUGGACCUUUUCCCAAGAUUUCUGGAUACACCUGGCUUGAUUGACCAAGACUUCACAAUGCUGUUUUUUGGGGAGGAAGUGUCUGGUAAGUUCCUUGCAAAGUGGCCAACAUUCUUCAAGCCAAGGAUCAUCAAAGAUUGCAAAAAUCUGUCCC
This is a non-coding RNA of Maylandia zebra (zebra mbuna), 592 nucleotides long. NCBI's taxonomy places the organism in Eukaryota, Metazoa, Chordata, Actinopteri, Cichliformes, Cichlidae. The record is from RefSeq and is a predicted model, not a curated record.